Molecule: ribosomal RNA, 207 nt
Filed under: uncultured Pseudomonas sp.
Lineage: Bacteria; Pseudomonadati; Pseudomonadota; Gammaproteobacteria; Pseudomonadales; Pseudomonadaceae
Description: partial 16S ribosomal RNA
Rfam family: Bacterial small subunit ribosomal RNA
Source: RNAcentral
AACGUUUCGAAAGGAACGCUAAUACCGCAUACGUCCUACGGAGAAAGCAGGGACCUUCGGGCCUUGCGCUAUCAGAUGAGCCUAGGUCGGAUUAGCUAGUUGGUGAGGUAAUGGCUCACCAAGGCGACGAUCCGUAACUGGUCUGAGAGGAUGAUCAGUCACACUGGAACUGAGACACGGUCCAGACUCCUACGGGAGGCAGCAGGC